Molecule: non-coding RNA, 73 nt
Filed under: pig gut metagenome
Description: Glycine riboswitch
Rfam family: Glycine riboswitch aptamer
About the family: This family represents the bacterial glycine riboswitch. Glycine riboswitches usually consist of two metabolite-binding aptamers domains with similar structures in tandem.
Source: RNAcentral
AUUACGGGAGAGACCUCGCUUUGAGGCGCCGAAGGGGCAGAGGAUGCAUAAACUCUCAGGCAAAAGGACCGUA